AGUUUGAUCCUGGCUCAGAUUGAACGCUGGCGGCAUGCCUUACACAUGCAAGUCGAACGGCAGCACGGGAGCAAUCCUGGUGGCGAGUGGCGAACGGGUGAGUAAUAUAUCGGAACGUGCCCAGUCGUGGGGGAUAACGCAGCGAAAGCUGUGCUAAUACCGCAUACGAUCUCUGGAUGAAAGCGGGGGACCUGUAAGGGCCUCGCGCGAUUGGAGCGGCCGAUAUCAGAUUAGCUAGUUGGUGGGGUAAAAGCCCACCAAGGCGACGAUCUGUAGCUGGUCUGAGAGGACGACCAGCCACACUGGAACUGAGACACGGUCCAGACUCCUACGGGAGGCAGCAGUGGGGAAUUUUGGACAAUGGGCGCAAGCCUGAUCCAGCAAUGCCGCGUGCAGGAUGAAGGCCUUCGGGUUGUAAACUGCUUUUGUACGGAACGAAAAGACUCCUUCUAAUAAAGGGGGUCCAUGACGGUACCGUAAGAAUAAGCACCGGCUAACUACGUGCCAGCAGCCGCGGUAAUACGUAGGGUGCAAGCGUUAAUCGGAAUUACUGGGCGUAAAGCGUGCGCAGGCGGUUAUAUAAGACAGAUGUGAAAUCCCCGGGCUCAACCUGGGAACUGCAUUUGUGACUGUAUAGCUAGAGUACGGCAGAGGGGGAUGGAAUUCCGCGUGUAGCAGUGAAAUGCGUAGAUAUGCGGAGGAACACCGAUGGCGAAGGCAAUCCCCUGGGCCUGUACUGACGCUCAUGCACGAAAGCGUGGGGAGCAAACAGGAUUAGAUACCCUGGUAGUCCACGCCCUAAACGAUGUCAACUGGUUGUUGGGAAUUCACUUUCUCAGUAACGAAGCUAACGCGUGAAGUUGACCGCCUGGGGAGUACGGCCGCAAGGUUGAAACUCAAAGGAAUUGACGGGACCCGCACAAGCGGUGGAUGAUGUGGUUUAAUUCGAUGCAACGCGAAAACCUUACCCCACCUUUGACAUGUACGGAAUCCUUUAGAGAUAGAGGAGUGCUCGAAAGAGAGCCGUAACACAGUGCUGCAUGCUGUCGUCAGCUCGUGUCGUGAGAUGUGGGUAAGUUCCCGCACGAGCGCCACCCUGUCAUAGUGCUAACAUCAGUGGCACUCUAUGAGACUGCGUGACAACGGAGAGUGUAUGACGUCAGGCUCUCAUGCUAUAGGUGCCUAACCACACGUCAUAUACAAAUUG
Molecule: ribosomal RNA, 1207 nt
Filed under: iron-reducing bacterium enrichment culture clone FEA_2_F4
Lineage: Bacteria
Description: partial 16S ribosomal RNA
Rfam family: Bacterial small subunit ribosomal RNA
Source: RNAcentral